CCGGAGAAUGUUAUCACGGGAGACACACGGCGGGUGCUAACGUCCGUCGUGAAGAGGGAAACAACCCAGACCGCCAGCUAAGGUCCCAAAGUCAUGGUUAAGUGGGAAACGAUGUGGGAAGGCCCAGACAGCCAGGAUGUUGGCUUAGAAGCAGCCAUCAUUUAAAGAAAGCGUAAUAGCUCACUGGUCGAGUCGGCCUGCGCGGAAGAUGUAACGGGGCUAAACCAUGCACCGAAGCUGCGGCAGCGAACGUAUCACUUAAAGCGAUUCAGCGGGUUACGAUUGACGGAGCGAAGCGACGUCAAAGCGUAUACAAAGUCGAGUCGGUUUAAGGAUACGUUCGUUGGGUAGGGGAGCGUUCUGUAAGCCUGUGAAGGUGGCCUGUGAGGGUUGCUGGAGGUAUCAGAAGUGCGAAUGCUGACAUAAGUAACGAUAAAGCGGGUGAAAAGCCCGCUCGCCGGAAGACCAAGGGUUCCUGUCCAACGUUAAUCGGGGCAGGGUGAGUCGACCCCUAAGGCGAGGCCGAAAGGCGUAGUCGAUGGGAAACGGGUUAAUAUUCCCGUACUUGGUGUUACUGCGAAGGGGGGACGGAGAAGGCUAUGUUGGCCGGGCGACGGUUGUCCCGGUUUAAGCGUGUAGGUGUGUGUUCCAGGUAAAUCCGGUUCACUUUAACACUGAGGCGUGAYGACGAGGCACUACGGUGCUGAAGCAACAAAUGCCCUGCUUCCAGGAAAAGCCUCUAAGCAUCAGGUAACA
This 756-nucleotide ribosomal RNA is filed under the name Salmonella enterica. Its description in RNAcentral is "partial 23S ribosomal RNA". The record is from RNAcentral. Lineage: Bacteria; Pseudomonadati; Pseudomonadota; Gammaproteobacteria; Enterobacterales; Enterobacteriaceae.